CCUACGGGUGGCAGCAGUGAGGAAUAUUGGUCAAUGGCCGGAAGGCUGAACCAGCCAAGCCGCGUGAAGGACGAAGGUGCCAAGCAUUGUAAACUUCUUUUGUCAAGGGACAAAAUCAUGCUCGAGAGCCUGACCGAGGGUACUUGAAGAAAAAGCAUCGGCUAACUCCGUGCCAGCAGCCGCGGUAAUACGGAGGAUGCGAGCGUUAUCCGGAUUUAUUGGGUUUAAAGGGUGCGUAGGCGGUGUUUUAAGUCAGCGGUGAAAGCCCGGGGCUCAACCCCAAGAGUGCCGUUGAAACUGGAUGUCUUGAGUGGGCGAGAGGUAUGCGGAAUGCGUAGUGUAGCGGUGAAAUGCUUAGAUAUUGCGCAGAACUCCGAUUGCGAAGGCAGCAUACCGGCGGCGAUCUGACGCUGAGGCACGAAAGCGUGGGUAUCGAACAGGAUUAGAUACCCCUGUAGUC
This 460-nucleotide ribosomal RNA is filed under the name uncultured bacterium. RNAcentral describes it as "partial 16S ribosomal RNA". It matches the Rfam family "Bacterial small subunit ribosomal RNA", at positions 338 to 795 of the family's 1533-position model. The record is from RNAcentral.